UACUACUUAUAAAAGAACUUCUGAAACUUUUUUACAUAUAAGAACAUAUUAUUGAAAAAACAAAAAGAAAAAAAAAAAAAAAACCAACAAAAACCCCCCACCCUGUUACCCUUUCACUGAAUAUGCAUUUCCUAUAACUGUCAUCACAAUUUAUAAAAAAUAGGUUUUGCUACAUAGAAAGUAGUUGAGUUUUCUUGUUUAAAACCAAAAGCUAAGAACUGAACUUUUCCUUUAAAAAAAACCCUUUUUUCCACUCUGGAUAUUGCUGACAUAUCCUCAGAGCAGAUGACACACAUGAAAAUAAAUCAGCAACAUAUAUUCAGCUGGAAGGAAUAGUUUCAAGGGGGAGAAAUUCUGCUGAGGUCCGAGAUGAAUUCUUUAUGGAAAUAAUGAACCUUGAUAGGUUUAUGAAGAUUUAUCCCAUCUUGCUCUCUACAAAUAGAAGUGAUAUUAUCUUCCAUCUCUGUAAUCCUGAUAUGAAAACAAACAAGCACACAUAGCCUGUGAACUCUGAAUGGAGAAAGACAUCUGGAGAAGAAUCAUGGAGAACAACUUGCUGGGAUGUUAUCAGAUGGCCUUUGUUCCUUUGAAAAAAAGAUGAAAUGCAAGUUAUAAGUUGUUUAAAUGGAACAUCAGGAAUUUACUGCCACUGAGGAUGUAGACCUAUAACUUCUAAAAGAGUAUUAUUAAGACAUCUGCUAGAUGCAUAAUGUAGAAACUAUAGUAAAUCUGCAAUAUUUCAGAAGACAGAUAGUGAAGACAUAUAAAAAAAGUUGAUUAUCUCAUUUGACAAGUCAUCAAGAGAUAUCCAUAUUGUGUAAGA
RNAcentral lists this long non-coding RNA (823 nucleotides) under Parus major (Great Tit). RNAcentral describes it as "lncRNA (ENSPMJG00000004891.1)". The record is from RNAcentral. Lineage: Eukaryota; Metazoa; Chordata; Aves; Passeriformes; Paridae.